AUUUAUGGCCAUAUAACCCUGAGCACACCGAUCUCCUCUGAUCUCAGAAGCUAAGCAGGGUUAGGCCUGAUUAGUACUUGAAUGGCAAACUUAUGGGCUUGUUUGUUUUUGAAACAGGGUUUCUCUGAGUA
RNAcentral lists this ribosomal RNA (131 nucleotides) under Peromyscus maniculatus bairdii (prairie deer mouse). The record is from RNAcentral. Lineage: Eukaryota; Metazoa; Chordata; Mammalia; Rodentia; Cricetidae.